RNAcentral lists this small RNA (59 nucleotides) under Xanthomonas arboricola. RNAcentral describes it as "sX9". It matches the Rfam family "Xanthomonas sRNA sX9", at positions 16 to 76 of the family's 76-position model. RNAcentral also lists the same sequence under 3 other names. The record is from RNAcentral. Lineage: Bacteria; Pseudomonadati; Pseudomonadota; Gammaproteobacteria; Lysobacterales; Lysobacteraceae.
ACCCCGGUUCCGAGCGCGCCGUCCACGCCCACCUGACGACUGCUUGCUGCGUGUCAGCC